CGACAUAGAUCAUAAGAUUGUGUUGUUGUUAGACUGGUUUUAUGUGAUAGAUAUCUUCCUUGUCAUGUUAGCUACAAUUUGAAACCUUAAGAACACUUAAACAUCACCUGUACAGCAAGUUGUGGAAGCCCAAAACUAGCCAGUUGAUAUGUGUAAGACCUCAAAUUUUAUGGAAUGAAAGUAUUUAAUUUUCUUAUAAUUAUUAUUUUAUUUAGUAAAUGGUUAAAUUGAUAAAAGGUUAAAGUUAAGGAUGAUAUAUGAAAAUUUUGCAAAGUAAGUAAGUUGUCACAAAUAACCGGUGGUAAAAGUAUAGUAAUAUGCGUGGUUGUAUAGUAUCACACGUUAUUGAUUAUUGACGCUUACGUGAGAAGUCACUCAGUUUAUUUCAAAUAUUGCCACAGUAAUUGUUGCAUGGUAUCUCACGUUAUUUGAUUCAAUUAUUGUCAAUAUUUUAUAUAUUAUUAAAUCAAUAAUUGAGACGACAAAGUUAUUCAUAUUAUUAUUUGCGAUAUUGAAAAUGUCUAGAAGUUCUGUCAAGGAGAGGUUAGGUCAUCUAAUUGCAC
Molecule: long non-coding RNA, 563 nt
Filed under: Panax ginseng (ginseng)
Lineage: Eukaryota; Viridiplantae; Streptophyta; Magnoliopsida; Apiales; Araliaceae
Description: long non-coding RNA (PGIN_LNC013489)
Source: RNAcentral